CUUUAAAAAUCUGGAUCAAGCUGAAAAUUGAAACGACACACAGCUCAUGUGUGUUCGAGUCUCUCAAAUUUUCGCAAUCAGAAGUGAAACAUCUUCGG
RNAcentral lists this small RNA (98 nucleotides) under Brevibacterium linens. Its description in RNAcentral is "Salmonella enterica Typhi npcRNA 44". It matches the Rfam family "Salmonella enterica Typhi npcRNA 44". RNAcentral also lists the same sequence under 3 other names. The record is from Rfam by way of RNAcentral. Lineage: Bacteria; Bacillati; Actinomycetota; Actinomycetes; Micrococcales; Brevibacteriaceae.